This 601-nucleotide ribosomal RNA is filed under the name uncultured bacterium. RNAcentral's name for it is "bacterial SSU rRNA". It matches the Rfam family "Bacterial small subunit ribosomal RNA", at positions 730 to 1337 of the family's 1533-position model. The record is from RNAcentral.
GAGUCCUCAACUGACGCUAAUGCUCGAAAGUGCGGGUAUCGAACAGGAUUAGAUACCCUGGUAGUCCGCACGGUAAACGAUGGAUGCCCGCUGUUGGCGAUAUAUUGUCAGCGGCCAAGCGAAAGCGUUAAGCAUCCCACCUGGGGAGUACGCCGGCAACGGUGAAACUCAAAGGAAUUGACGGGGGCCCGCACAAGCGGAGGAACAUGUGGUUUAAUUCGAUGAUACGCGAGGAACCUUACCCGGGCUUGAACUGCAGCAGAACGAUAGAGAGAUCUUGAGGCCCUUCGGGGCUGCUGUGGAGGUGCUGCAUGGUUGUCGUCAGCUCGUGCCGUGAGGUGUCGGCUUAAGUGCCAUAACGAGCGCAACCCCUUCCGUCAGUUGCCAUCACUUUGGGUGGGCACUCUGGCGGUACUGCCACCGUAAGGUGUGAGGAAGGUGGGGAUGACGUCAAAUCAGCACGGCCCUUACGUCCGGGGCUACACACGUGUUACAAUGGGUGGUACAGAGAGUCAACCGCCGGCAACGUCGGUUUAAUCAAUAAAGCCAUCCUCAGUUCGGAUUGGGGUCUGCAACCCGACCCCAUGAAGCUGGAUCGCUA